RNAcentral lists this ribosomal RNA (556 nucleotides) under Magnaporthaceae sp. RS7-1. RNAcentral's name for it is "eukaryotic LSU rRNA". The stretch from base 178 to 331 matches the Rfam family "5.8S ribosomal RNA". Lineage: Eukaryota; Fungi; Ascomycota; Sordariomycetes; Magnaporthales; Magnaporthaceae. The record is from RNAcentral.
AACAAGGUCUCCGUUGGUGAACCAGCGGAGGGAUCAUUACAGAGUUGAAAAACUCCAACCCCUGUGAACCUACCUUUACUGUUGCUUCGGCGGACGAUGGCCCCAGGGCCGGACGCCGCCGGAGGUUACAAACCCUGAAUUUUUAGUGUAUCUCUGAGCACAAAAACAAAUAAUUAAAACUUUCAACAACGGAUCUCUUGGUUCUGGCAUCGAUGAAGAACGCAGCGAAAUGCGAUAAGUAAUGUGAAUUGCAGAAUUCAGUGAAUCAUCGAAUCUUUGAACGCACAUUGCGCCCGCCGGUAUUCCGGCGGGCAUGCCUGUCCGAGCGUCAUUUCACCACUCAAGCCCAGCUUGGUGUUGGGGCACCCGGCCGCCCGGCGGUCGGGGCCCCCAAGAACAUCGGCGGUCUCGCUGGGACCCUGAACGCAGUAACUCGCGGUAAAACGCGCUUCGUUCGGAGGCUUUUCCCGGCGGGCUCCAGCCGUUAAAACCCCCUAAAAUUCUUAGGUUGACCUCGGAUCAGGUAGGAAUACCCGCUGAACUUAAGCAUAUCAUA